GGGAGCUUCUCCCCGGAUUAGUGGCGAACGGGUGAGUAACACGUGAGCAACCUGCCCCUAACUCUGGGAUAACGCUUCGAAAGGAGUGCUAAUACCGGAUAUGAGCCUGGAAGACAUCUUCUGGGUUGGAAAGUUUUUCGGUUAGGGAUGGGCUCGCGGCCUAUCAGCUAGUUGGUGAGGUAAAGGCUCACCAAGGCGACGACGGGUAUCCGGCCUGAGAGGGCGACCGGACACACUGGGACUGAGACACGGCCCAGACUCCUACGGGAGGCAGCAGUGGGGAAUAUUGCGCAAUGGGCGAAAGCCUGACGCAGCGACGCCGCGUGAGGGAUGAAGGUCUUCGGAUUGUAAACCUCUUUCAGCAGGGACGAAGCGAAAGUGACGGUACCUGCAGAAGAAGCACCGGCUAACUACGUGCCAGCAGCCGCGGUAAUACGUAGGGUGCAAGCGUUGUCCGGAUUUAUUGGGCGUAAAGAGCUCGUAGGCGGUUAGACACGUCGGAUGUGAAAACUGGGGGCUCAACCCCCAGCCUGCAUCCGAUACGGUCUGACUAGAGUGUGGUAGGGGUAACUGGAAUUCCUGGUGUAGCGGUGAAAUGCGCAGAUAUCAGGAGGAACACCGAUGGCG
This 627-nucleotide ribosomal RNA is filed under the name uncultured Actinomycetes bacterium. Its description in RNAcentral is "bacterial SSU rRNA". It matches the Rfam family "Bacterial small subunit ribosomal RNA", at positions 74 to 717 of the family's 1533-position model. The record is from RNAcentral. Lineage: Bacteria; Bacillati; Actinomycetota; Actinomycetes.